AAGGUUUCGGUGCAUGUGAUGAAGCAAAUCAGUAUGAAUGAAGUCAUGAUACUGUAAACGCUUUCUGAUGUGCUACUCA
This is a microRNA precursor of Rhinopithecus bieti (black snub-nosed monkey), 79 nucleotides long. The record is from Ensembl. NCBI's taxonomy places the organism in Eukaryota, Metazoa, Chordata, Mammalia, Primates, Cercopithecidae.